GUUGCAAUAUCAACAUCAAGCUGCCACAAACCAAAUCACAACUAUCACUCAAAAUUGUAAAUGGGUACAUAUAGCACAUGCAUGACCUAACCACUGUUCACAAAAGCUUGACUGCAUUCUAGUGCGUACAGCAAUGAUGGUUUAUCAGAUCUAUGUAUAAAAUAUACAAUGAUAACAGCACUGCCUAUCAGACAUGAAGAAAAUCAAUAAAACACUUAAAAAAUUGCACAUUAUUAGACAUUACAUUUGUUUUGAAACUAGAAACCAGAUUAAGAUUAUAGAAAAUUUUAAAAAAGACCAAAUAACCCAAAAAAAUCCGGACAUUUGUGCAUUAAAUUUAUUUUUUUUUUAGAAUUUGAUAACAUUAAAAGGUAAUUGCUAGGAAUAUACAAGUGAAGAAUUCUCACAUUGAUAAAAGAUGAGAUGAAUGAGACAUAUGCAUGAGAAGAACCCAUAAACCCAUUACCUUAAGAUUUUGGAUAUUUGGUGUAAGCUUAUAAGUGUCUUUCACAAAGCCCAUACAUAAAAGAUUCUCUCCAAGUACUUUGAACUCUCCAGAUCUCUAACAAAUGGUAUCAAAGCCGAUAGUUCGGCAAGGGCAAGUAUGGAGAUGGUAGUCAGUUACUCCCGUGGAACUCUGACACAUGGAUGUAGAGUCGAGACUCAUGGUAUGCCUAAUGGAGCAGAUGGCACUCUUCUGGAGAAGAAUAAAUCAAUAGAGUGGAGACUCUCAGUACAUGUAAUGGCUAUAGUGUAGCACUUAAAAGUGCAUGCUCAGGUGAGUUUGGUAGAGUAAUAGGCUCUUGUUGACGUCGUAAUACUUGAGUUAAGAAAAAGGCUUUCUUUCGAGGGGGAAUAGGCCCAAAAAGCCCAAUGUAGAAAGAACUCACGCUUGAGGAGGAGAUUGUUGGAGAUAUGCAAGUGUGGAAUUUCCACAUUAAUAAGAGAUGAGAUAAAUGAGAGAUAUGUGGGAAGGACUCAUAAACCUAUUGCCUUAAGAUUUUUGGAUGGGUUGAAUGUGGUGUCAAGCUUAUGAGUGUGUUCUUUCAUAGGCCCAUCAAGAAAGGAUUCCCUUCAGGCGCUUUAGGCUUUCCCAAUCUCUAACAACAGUUUAGCUAAAAUUGAAAAAGCAAAUACUGAUUAGGAUUUUUUUUUAUCAUUUGGCCUUCCAAGAAAGAAAAUAAAGUCCAUUAAAUGUUUGAUGUCAUGAAUCUCAUGAUUGAAAGAACCAUUCUUAAAAACCUCAUAUUUAAGGGUGAGCAGAAUUUGAUUCGAACCUUAAAAAAACAACCAAACUGAUUUAAUUCAGAAAUUCGGUUCAUUUUUAAGGAAAAAAAUUUGAUAGAACUGAACCUAACU
This 1359-nucleotide unclassified non-coding RNA is filed under the name Hevea brasiliensis (rubber tree). The record is from RNAcentral. Lineage: Eukaryota; Viridiplantae; Streptophyta; Magnoliopsida; Malpighiales; Euphorbiaceae.